RNAcentral lists this ribosomal RNA (497 nucleotides) under uncultured bacterium. RNAcentral's name for it is "partial 16S ribosomal RNA". It matches the Rfam family "Bacterial small subunit ribosomal RNA", at positions 28 to 507 of the family's 1533-position model. The record is from RNAcentral.
GAUGAACGCUGGCGGCGUGCCUAAUACAUGCAAGUCGAGCGAACAGACGAGGAGCUUGCUCCUCUGACGUUAGCGGCGGACGGGUGAGUAACAAGUGGAUAACAUACCUAUAAGACUGGGAUAACUUCGGGAAACCGGAGCUAAUACCGGAUAAUAUAUUGAACCGCAUGGUUCAAUAGUGAAAGACGGUUUUGCUGUCACUUAUAGAUGGAUCCGCGCCGCAUUAGCUAGUUGGUAAGGUAACGGCUUACCAAGGCAACGAUGCGUAGCCGACCUGAGAGGGUGAUCGGCGACACUGGAACUGAGACACGGUCCAGACUCCUACGGGAGGCAGCAGUAGGGAAGCUUCCGCAAUGGGCGAAAGCCUGACGGAGCAACGCCGCGUGAGGGAUGAAGGUCUUCGGAUCGUAAAACUCUGUUAUUAGGGAAGAACAAAUGUGUAAGUAACUAUGCACGUCUUGACGGUACCUAAUCAGAAAGCCACGGCUAACUACGUG